GAAAUCAGUUCAGCACUAAGUCACUUUGUCUAUAUGGCAAAUGUGAGAUGCAGUGUAUGGAACAUCAAUAUUCUAGUAUGAGAAAUUAACGAUUUAAGUCCUUCUUAAAUGAGGCCAUUUACCCAUAGAGGGUGCCAGGCCCGUAUAACGUUAAUGAUUAUUAGAUGGUGUUUCCAAAGAGUCGUGUUGCUUGAUAGUGCAGCACUAAGUGGGUGGUAAACUCCAUCUAAAACUAAAUAUAACCAUGAGACCGAUAGUAAACAAGUACCGUGAGGGAAAGUUGAAAAGAACUCUGAAUAGAGAGUUAAAUAGUACGUGAAACUGCUUAGAGGUUAAGCCCGAUGAACCUGAAUAUCCGUUAUGGAAAAUUCAUCAUUAGAAUUGUAAUAUUUAAACAAUAUUAUAAGGAUAGUGUGCAUUUUUUCCAUAUAAGGACAUUGUAAUCUAUUAGUAUCAAACAAUUUAUCAAAAAAUUUUAGACAAAUGCUUAUUUAAAUUAGAAUGCUUGCAUUUUAACAUAAAAUAAAUGUCAUAAAUUUGAUAAAGUGCUGAUAGAUUUAUAUGAGUACAGUGCGUUAAUUUUUCGGAAUUAUAUAAUGGCUAUGAUUAUCAUUGAUUUUUGUGUUUAUUAUAUGCACUUGUAUGAUAACAAUGCGAA
This 658-nucleotide ribosomal RNA is filed under the name Drosophila testacea. RNAcentral's name for it is "eukaryotic LSU rRNA". It matches the Rfam family "Eukaryotic large subunit ribosomal RNA", at positions 100 to 628 of the family's 3401-position model. Lineage: Eukaryota; Metazoa; Arthropoda; Insecta; Diptera; Drosophilidae. The record is from RNAcentral.